Molecule: long non-coding RNA, 532 nt
Filed under: Homo sapiens (human)
Lineage: Eukaryota; Metazoa; Chordata; Mammalia; Primates; Hominidae
Description: HSALNT0406365
Source: RNAcentral
GGGGGGUCUCAGAGUGGGGGCCAGUUGCAUCAGGCCCCUGGAGGGUGGGACACUGCCUUUCCAAGAGCAACAAAGUGUGGGCGAUUUGUGGUGCUGAGAAUCGUGAGCAGGCAGUUCGUCUAGAGCAGGGUUGCAAACUUUUUCUGUAAAAGGCCAGAUAGUAAAUAUGUUAGGCUUUGUGGGCCUUGUAGUCUCUGUUGCAACUACUCAGCUCUGCCCUGAUGAGGCAAAAGCAGCCACAGGCAAUGUACAAAAUGUCCGUGGCUGUGUUCCAAGAAAACUUUAUUGGCAAAAACAGGCAGUGGGCCAGAUCUAAGCCAUGGGCCGUAGUUUGCCAACCCCUGGUCUAGACCACUCCCAUUUAUAAAGUGAUUCGGCUUUAGCAGCUUCCUGGAAGGUGGUGCUGCUGGCUGAUAAAGCAGAGGGACGGAGCUUGCAGAAUUCAGCAAUGCAAGAACGGCCAAACACAAAGUUUGCUGAGCAGAGACACACGGCCAGAAAGUUAAGUGGGGGUCUCAAGCCCGACUGUGGG